GAACACAAUGGUGAACAAAAUUCAGACACCGUCACUGUUCUCCUGGUGCUCUGAGUCUGUGAAGGUCAAACAUUAAUCGGAUAUUUACACGUAGAUGUAUCAUUACAAAGGGAAAGUAGCGUUCUAUGAGUGCAUAUGGCAUGAGGAAGUGCUGAGGGCAGAGGCUGCUGUUACCAGCCUCUCGUGAGGGCAGUCCUGCCACUUGGGCGGAGCUUUGGAAAUGUGUGGGAGCAUUUUUGUUCACCACCACAAAUGACUGGAGGCAUUUAGCAGGAGCGGAACAGCGUUAGACAUCCUAGAGCUCACAGGAUGGUCUUCUACACAAAGUAUUGUCUCUCUUCACACGUGACUUUCAGGUACUCUUCUGGAUACGCAUGUGUUUCAUUAUCUGAGCUUGGAACUGAACUCCCUUUUACAUAAAGAUACAAGAAACCCAGUUUUAGAGAAGAAAAUGAAAGCUCUUCCAUGUAUCUUCUUGAACGUUGUAGAAUGAGCAUUGCAGCAUAAAUCACCCAAAAUUCAUCAGCUCUGACAUAUCAUCAAAGAAGAGGAAAGACUUCUAAUGAGUCAUCUGGAUGUUGCUGGCAGAGGUGAGACAUCAAGAGGUUCAAGAGGUCUUCAUACGAUCCCUGGUUUUUCCAUCUACCAAGGAUGGAUAAGGCUGAGGAUAUAAUUAAGCAAUAGAAACAGCAAAACUAGAGAUGGUACUCUGCAAACAUGUUCCAUGAGGAGACAGAAAGAAUCUACCAAGCCUAUAGGCAUUACACAGACGCAGAUCCAGAAGACCCUAAGAACCUCAAGAUGAUGAAUAUGACUUUCAUAGGACAAAGUGCCCCAGACCUUACAAGGAAGCUAGAGAAACUGGAUGGGCAUUAGGUGUACAACAACAAGGAAUGAUGGAUAAAGCAGGAAGAAGUUAAAAGAAAUGCUUCUCUGGCAGCUGCUCUGAGUGGACAGAAACCAAAUCAUCCCAGUGGAGGGGCCAGCCAACUGAAGGGAGCAGGUCGACCUACCCAUCUGAUUUCGCUUUACAUUCUUACCAGCUGGAUGACAGAGUCCUGUUCAAAAGCUGGAAAGAACAAGGUCUUGAGCAUCAGCUGUCUGCUAAAUGGACAGGCUGCUUUCACCACCUGUUCUUCCAUGGAGCUCUCUGGAGUAAAACCGUGGAUACAUUGAAUCCAGAUAAAACAAGCUCUACCAGAAGAGACAACAGAGCAACCUGAGACCACCUCCUGAAAGUGCGAACACAUCAAGGAUUUAAGAUGUGUAUUCUGUAAAGUUCCUUAAUCUUUACACAAUACUUAGGACAAAUACAAGGAAUCAAGUAUGCUUUAACAUGUCCUCUAGCGCUCAAGAGACAAUUUGUUUCUGUUUUGCUAUUAAUGGUUAUGAGAUUGCCUCAUGUCAGUUAUAACUUCUGCCUCCAGAAACAUCUUCCCUUUCUGAUUGUUGGUUACUGAUCAUGGAGAAAAGUCACUAACUUUGAUCCCCUGACAGAUGGCCACAAUACCCACUUUAAUUCUAUGAGGCUAGUAUUUUUAUAUGAUAUAAACACCUAGACAUUAAUUUGGACUUUAUGGGGUACAUUUAUUAUAUAGGACAGACUUUAGGGAAAACUGCUUGGGAACUUCUCCCAGGGAAGGUUUUUGGUAGAGAUAUAAUCAGGACUAGAGCCACCAAGUAUCAGCAUUAUUAUGUUGCCAUUGGAAUCAAUGAUGAGUUGCUAAAAAAAAAAUACCAGGUUAUAACAGCAGUUACUUAGCCAAACCUUGUGUUUCCUGUCAUAGUGCCAUGUGUCCCCAUUCCCCUCAGCCAUGUUUUUGUGGAUGGGUACCAAAAACCAAAUCUUCUAAUAAGAAGGGAUGAUCACAUGCAGUAGGAGUAAAAUGGUGGACCACUGCUAACAAAGGACAAAAAGAGAUUUUAGGAUCAUUCGGGGCUAGAUUGAGUGUAUUGGGCCAAGUGGAAAUGGCAUUUGAUAAAAACUAUCACAGGCAAGAGAUGCAAUAUUUAAUGGCAUCAGGAAAAUUAGGUGGAUUAUUGUUUCAAGAAGAAGGAAAGGGUUGGGAAGCAGUCUGGAAGACCAACCAAGCUUUAGACAAAUGGAUAAGCAAAACUCAGGAAAUAAUGACAAAAUAUGCUGAGUCUCAACUGUGGGAAAAGGCAUGUGCCUCUACCCAGCAAAGCUUAAUAGACAUGCUUCUCUAAAUGGAAUCAGAAGUAGCAAUGAAACAAUGGCCCACUAUCUUAACAGCUGAGGCCCAAGAAACCCACUUAUGGGAAAAUAUGGGACACCAAACAUAUGGGAAAUAAUUGAAGGAAUUUUAAGUCUACACUGUUGUUCUCUGACUGCCUUAGUACUCAAAUUAAGAAAAGAUUUCAAACAUGAAGUAGUACAGCUUGUAGGAAUAGAUACCCUCCACAACAAUUACCAAAUACUUCCUAUGGGAAGUUUCUGGACCCUCUUUUCCUUGCAUAACUCAAUGGGAACCAAUUUCAGUUAUGAGUUGUAAAUAACGAAAUGGUUACAUUGGCUAUUCCAACAUAUGGCUAUGCCCACAACAGCAAUGGAACUCAGAGGUAAGUCUGACUUGGCCUGUGGUAAGAACUCUGGUUCAAGAUACAUUUGGUACAUGGAAAAAGGGAGAUUCUGUUGGGAAGGUGCCAUGAAUCAUACUGAUUCGUCCGUUUGAUCUGAUAAUCGUCCGUUUAUCAGAUCCUUAUCGUGACCAAACUGAGUUCAUAAUGAAUUUGUCUAAUAUCUGGUGUACUACAGAGGUUACAGGUAAAGUUCAUUUGCUGGAAACUAACAAAACCUGUGAUAACACUGAUGAAGAAGACUAUACCUAUCAGGAGUUAGAACUGAGACCCUCCACAAAGGUAAACUUAUAGAAGAUAAAUGGCCUAAGCAAAAUCUAAACUUAGCAUCUCAAGAAGUCCAGAGGUUCUUGAACAAGCUGGAGUAAUUGAACACCAGGCAGAGGUCACUGUUACAGAGAGGGGAAAGAGAAUCAUUCAGUUAAUCCAAAAAUAUGCAGAAGUUUGUUCUGGUUUCAUCAGAUGGCUCUCUUGUCUGAUUGGGUCUGCCUCUAGUAGUGAUAAAAUCUUAAAAGUUACCUUUUUUGCCUCCUUCUGAUAAUUUGUAUCCUUUUCUUACCCUGAGGUUGUGUUAACUGAUAAAAUGGAAAAAAAACUAAAGUCUCAAACAGUGUUAAUCAACACUGUUGCUCGAGAAUACUUUCAAAUCAAGUUUCGUCAGUUCCAUUCCUCUAUUCUCUAUGAUGCCCCUUGUCAGCAGGAAGUAGCCAGAUAGAAAUGAUAGCCAUAUAAGAUUAUAGAAUGGAUAACUGACAGUGAGAAAUUGAUACUGGCCUGAAGUAAGUUUGAUAUGAGGGAAGCUAUGUUGUAACUUAGAAUAACCUCUGACUAAACCACCCAAGCUGUAUGUUUUACCUUGCACUAGCCUAGGAGAUAAAUAGCUACCCUCUAGGAAAUAAUCCUGGCUGACAAAUGUACAGCCCAAUAGAUAUGGAUGAUAACUUUGUUAUUUUGAGUUUCUUAGGAACAUGGUGACCUCCUCAGAGAAGAACAUCUAUGCUGGCAUAUAUCAUCGAAGACAACUGAAAGACCUGUGGCAUCUCCAGUCACUGAUGCCAGAUAGUCAAUGUUCCUGAGCCCCUCCUUCAUAGCUCACUAGUCUCUAUACAACUGCCUCAAGAUUAUAUGCUUGUUUAAGAUGGUCUUUGGGACAUGAGCCUACCGUCUUCUGAUUUUGCUGGCUAAUCAAAUUAAUUCCUUUCUCAACCACUGACUCAUUUGUAGUUGAUUGCCUUCAGGGUUGUGGCAAGCAGAAUGAGCCCUUGCUUGGUUACAGAAUUUGUCUGACUUCCAAAUGUUUGGGAAUAAGAUAACUGGAGAGUCUGAUCAGCACCUGCCAAGGGUGUCAUUGCUGAAGACUGGUCCUGUGCAGUUCAGAUCCUUAGCUGUGUGUCCCACACAUGCUCACUUGUUGUUUCCAAGCUCAGAAAUUGUGCUAGGUUGGCUGGGUCAAAGUGAAGGUUAUGUUGGUAGCACUGUCUCAUGCUACCCUAGAUCUAGCCUCUGAGCUUCAGGGCCCUCUAUUGUGCCCAGGCCAUUAGAUACCUCCUGCCUUGUGGUGAGAUCUCUUUGGUGCCCCGCAUAUCCUUUCCUCUCAGCAGACCUAAAGGGCCAGGAGCAACUGGUCCAGCCAAGGUGCUGGGAAUUAGAAUCUGGGAAUAAGUUCAGGGCUGGGAUCUCAGAAGACUCCUGGGCUGCUAUUGAAAACUCAUCCUCUCCUUCCAGGAGAUUUGCCUCCCAGGGAGUGGUAGCUUUUGCUAAAGUCUGGAUGUAAGAGUAUCCUCUGUGGUCUGACUGCUUGACUUUGAAUCCUGGCUUUACCAUUUCUAAGCUGAGUAAUCUUGUGCAAUUUGCUUAAUCUGUUUAAGAUUCAAUUUGCUCAUCUGUGAAAGAGGGUUUAUUAGAGUACCUUCCCCUUAGGAUCCCCAAGAGGAUUAAAUGAGGUAAUCCAUGUGAAGUAUAUAGUGUAGUUCCUGGCAUGAAAAUACUCAAUAAAAGUUAGCUGCAAAAUUAUUAUGCUACAUAAAACCCAAUAGGUCCUAUUACACCAAAAUGGAAGUUUUGGUACAAGGGGACUGUUUCUUCAUUGUGUGGAGAAAUGGCUGGAAACUUAUUUCUUGUUUAAAAAAAUCUGUCUUAACGUCAUUGAUUAGUAAGUUUAAACUGUUUGUCCCCAACUUUAUUUGCUGUAUUUACUCUUUGGUGAAUUGUCAGUUAAUACUUUUCUUGUUUUCUGCAUUCUUUGUAUUUUUUUAGCUAAACUUUUUAUUUUGAGAUAACUGCAUAUUCUUAUGCAGUAAUAAGAAAUAAUACAGAGAGAUUCCAUGUAACCUUUCCCUCAGUUUCCUGAGCAUCUCUGUGUGUGUAUUUAUUUAUUUUUCCAGUCUCUUUCUCUCUCUGGUUCAAAUUGGAUCAUUUCUAUUGUCCUAUCUUCAAAGUCACUAAUUCUUUCUUCUGUCCUCUACAUUCUGUGGUUGAG
Molecule: long non-coding RNA, 5077 nt
Filed under: Equus caballus (horse)
Lineage: Eukaryota; Metazoa; Chordata; Mammalia; Perissodactyla; Equidae
Description: lncRNA (ENSECAG00000050447.1)
Source: RNAcentral